AUGCUCACUUCCACAGCACAUCUAUUAAAAACAAUAAUAUACAGAUUAGCAUGGCCCCUGGGCAAGGAUAACAUAAAUGCAUGAAACAUUUCACAUUAUUUU
Trichosurus vulpecula (common brushtail) is the source of this 102-nucleotide small nuclear RNA. The record is from RefSeq and is a predicted model, not a curated record. Lineage: Eukaryota; Metazoa; Chordata; Mammalia; Diprotodontia; Phalangeridae.